RNAcentral lists this ribosomal RNA (433 nucleotides) under uncultured Paracoccaceae bacterium. RNAcentral describes it as "bacterial SSU rRNA". It matches the Rfam family "Bacterial small subunit ribosomal RNA", at positions 29 to 505 of the family's 1533-position model. The record is from RNAcentral. Lineage: Bacteria; Pseudomonadati; Pseudomonadota; Alphaproteobacteria; Rhodobacterales; Paracoccaceae.
AACGAACGCUGGCGGCAGGCCUAACACAUGCAAGUCGAGCGCUACCUUCGGGUGGAGCGGCGGACGGGUUAGUAACGCGUGGGAAUAUGCCCUUCUCUAUGGAAUAGCCAUUGGAAACGAUGAGUAAUACCAUAUACGCCCUUUCGAGGGGAAAGAUUUAUCGGAGAAGGAUUAGCCCGCGUUAGAUUAGAUAGUUGGUGGGGUAAUGGCCUACCAAGUCUACGAUCUAUAGCUGGUUUUAGAGGAUGAUCAGCAACACUGGGACUGAGACACGGCCCAGACUCCUACGGGAGGCAGCAGUGGGGAAUCUUAGACAAUGGGCGCAAGCCUGAUCUAGCCAUGCCGCGUGUGUGAUGAAGGCCUUAGGGUCGUAAAGCACUUUCGCCAGAGAUGAUAAUGACAGUAUCUGGUAAAGAAACCCCGGCUAACUCCG